Molecule: ribosomal RNA, 1248 nt
Filed under: Escherichia coli
Lineage: Bacteria; Pseudomonadati; Pseudomonadota; Gammaproteobacteria; Enterobacterales; Enterobacteriaceae
Description: partial 23S ribosomal RNA
Rfam family: Bacterial large subunit ribosomal RNA
Source: RNAcentral
GGGACACGUGGUAUCCUGUCUGAAUAUGGGGGGACCAUCCUCCAAGGCUAAAUACUCCUGACUGACCGAUAGUGAACCAGUACCGUGAGGGAAAGGCGAAAAGAACCCCGGCGAGGGGAGUGAAAAAGAACCUGAAACCGUGUACGUACAAGCAGUGGGAGCACGCUUAGGCGUGUGACUGCGUACCUUUUGUAUAAUGGGUCAGCGACUUAUAUUCUGUAGCAAGGUUAACCGAAUAGGGGAGCCGAAGGGAAACCGAGUCUUAACUGGGCGUUAAGUUGCAGGGUAUAGACCCGAAACCCGGUGAUCUAGCCAUGGGCAGGUUGAAGGUUGGGUAACACUAACUGGAGGACCGAACCGACUAAUGUUGAAAAAUUAGCGGAUGACUUGUGGCUGGGGGUGAAAGGCCAAUCAAACCGGGAGAUAGCUGGUUCUCCCCGAAAGCUAUUUAGGUAGCGCCUCGUGAAUUCAUCUCCGGGGGUAGAGCACUGUUUCGGCAAGGGGGUCAUCCCGACUUACCAACCCGAUGCAAACUGCGAAUACCGGAGAAUGUUAUCACGGGAGACACACGGCGGGUGCUAACGUCCGUCGUGAAGAGGGAAACAACCCAGACCGCCAGCUAAGGUCCCAAAGUCAUGGUUAAGUGGGAAACGAUGUGGGAAGGCCCAGACAGCCAGGAUGUUGGCUUAGAAGCAGCCAUCAUUUAAAGAAAGCGUAAUAGCUCACUGGUCGAGUCGGCCUGCGCGGAAGAUGUAACGGGGCUAAACCAUGCACCGAAGCUGCGGCAGCGACGCUUAUGCGUUGUUGGGUAGGGGAGCGUUCUGUAAGCCUGUGAAGGUGUGCUGUGAGGCAUGCUGGAGGUAUCAGAAGUGCGAAUGCUGACAUAAGUAACGAUAAAGCGGGUGAAAAGCCCGCUCGCCGGAAGACCAAGGGUUCCUGUCCAACGUUAAUCGGGGCAGGGUGAGUCGACCCCUAAGGCGAGGCCGAAAGGCGUAGUCGAUGGGAAACAGGUUAAUAUUCCUGUACUUGGUGUUACUGCGAAGGGGGGACGGAGAAGGCUAUGUUGGCCGGGCGACGGUUGUCCCGGUUUAAGCGUGUAGGCUGGUUUUCCAGGCAAAUCCGGAAAAUCAAGGCUGAGGCGUGAUGACGAGGCACUACGGUGCUGAAGCAACAAAUGCCCUGCUUCCAGGAAAAGCCUCUAAGCAUCAGGUAACAUCAAAUCGUACCCCAAACCGACACAGGUGGUCA